AAAAGGUCAGUCAAUGUGUAACGUGGAGAUUGGAAUGAAAAUCAAAAAUAAAUUCUAAAUUAACGUGGAAAACGCACGCCUCGUGAAUGUUAGCUCAUACCAACCUCGGUCGUCCACCACCAUGAGGCAUCGCGCUGGAAAUCGUUUUCGGCGGUGAUAGCCACCAAGAAUUAAAAUUGAAUACACCCUUAGCUUCCUCUCAACCUCCUCAUCUCAAAUAUGCUAACAAUUUCACCUAAUUCUUGUUUUAACACCGAAACAUAAAACCAUCGUCCAAGAACCGUAGAAACCCAACCUUAAAUUAAACCCUAGAUAUGCAAAUUCAAAGCCCACGGGGUUGGGGCUUUGAAUCUUCUCCGAAAACUCUACAUUAUAACUACUGGAAUUGAAGAAAAGAGAUAAGCAAGAGACUCACUGUGGUCGGAGAUUUCGAAUGUGGAGACGAUGAAUUCAGGUUGCACUGCCUAAAUGUUCAUGGUCCAUUGCUGCAAACUCAUGGCAUGAUCUUGGCCUGCAACGUGUUGUUGCAAGUUUGCUCAUACUCACGGUCCAUAAUUUGGCACUAUUGAUUGUUAUGAUGUGCUUCAAGUUGAUCUAAGGACUGCAUUGCGAUUCUGCAAUCUUGUAUUCAUGUUGCAGAAUGGUUGCAACUUGUUCUGACUUUGAUUUCAUGGCAUGAUGCUUCAAGUUUCAUUGCAUUACCUUGAUGUGGUCCUGUUUAUACUGAUGGAUUAAUAUACUGCAUUGUGUAUGUUCUUGAAUAUGCAUGUUGAUUGUGUUUAUAUGGGUUGUUAUGCAUGCUAAUGUAUGGUGUGAACAAAUUGGUUUGGUCAUGUGUUUGAUUGCAUUGUCCCAUUGAUUACUUGCUUCAUGUUAAGCCUAUAUGUAGAUGCUUAGAAUUGUGGUGGUUUUUGUUGUGAAUACAA
This is a long non-coding RNA of Lathyrus oleraceus (garden pea), 926 nucleotides long. RefSeq lists it as uncharacterized. The record is from RefSeq and is a predicted model, not a curated record. NCBI's taxonomy places the organism in Eukaryota, Viridiplantae, Streptophyta, Magnoliopsida, Fabales, Fabaceae. The transcript has 3 exons.